This is a long non-coding RNA of Salarias fasciatus (jewelled blenny), 90 nucleotides long. RefSeq lists it as uncharacterized. Lineage: Eukaryota; Metazoa; Chordata; Actinopteri; Blenniiformes; Blenniidae. The record is from RefSeq and is a predicted model, not a curated record. The transcript has 4 exons.
GGGGCACCUCUCUCCAGUCUCCCAGCAGGCCGAUGCGCCCGUCUCCGGUGUUCAGCACCUCCUCUGACUGCGGAAGCGAGCCACACACAG